AGACAUUGCAUCCUCUUCUGUGCAGGCAACAUGGUGACUUGAAGAACAGGCACUGGACUGCACAGAAGCUGUGCGAUUGACAGCAAAAUGAUAGAGGCUGACAGUGAUCUUGGCUGGUUAAGAUCCCAACUGAAGUCAUCUGAGCUCCUCUUAGGAGUUCCUCAGCUAUCAAUGACCUGUGGGCAGCUAAUAGAGUUCUGCUCUGUCCAGAGCUGUCAUACUUUGCCAGGGUUUUAACAGCUGUGGCUGAAAAAAGCAUCCAGUGUUGACAGAACAAGCUUGCUUUCAAGGGGAAAUCUGAUAUCCACCUUGGAAAGGGAGACUGAAUCCUGCAGAUCCGACUUCACAGAUCACUGGUGUAUGGCACACCAAGCUUCUCUUUCCUACACGCUGAAAUUAGUCCUAAAGAUGACUACACCGAAGAAGGCAGGUAUUGGUUAAAGUCAAAUUGCCUUUAACUUCCACUGAGACAUUUUCCAAAAGGCUGGUAGUUCUUCAGGAACUAUUUGGUUCCUCAGUAUCUGCUUUUCAAAGUCUUUAAAGUUCAGUGUUAGACCUUUCCUUUUUUUGUGUAUCCAACUUUUCAAUAUAAUGUAAAAAUUGAGAUGUUUUUAUUAGUAACAGCAUUAACUUCUGCUAGAGAAGAUUUAGCUGCUAAUUUUAUCAGCAUUAACUUCUGCGAGAGAGUAUUUAGCUGGAGCUUAAAUACUAAGAGGCUGAAAUUACCUUAUAACAGACUUCCUAAAUGGCUGUUAUGCCUAUCCACUAACACAUCCUGCUACCUUCCAUCUUCAGCUAGAAAUCUAUAGCUUUGCCUGUUUUCACAGAACAAAGAUUAUCCAUUGUAGUCACAGGAAAAAACAUGGCUUUACAUCAAUGGGCCUAAGAAUGAUUAUUAUUUGCAUUUUUUCCUGACCACCUAUUUAAAAGGAAAUAAUCCUACAAUGUGCUGGAUUCUUAUGGGCUGAUGUUCUGUGUUUUCAUCUACCACUGACUUAUCUAUGCCCAAAACCUCUUGUUUAAUAAAGUCAGAGUGCCUUAUUUUUU
This is a non-coding RNA of Taeniopygia guttata (zebra finch), 1047 nucleotides long. The record is from RefSeq and is a predicted model, not a curated record. NCBI's taxonomy places the organism in Eukaryota, Metazoa, Chordata, Aves, Passeriformes, Estrildidae.